AAUGAACGCUGGCGGCGUGGAUUAGGCAUGCAAGUCGAACGCGAAAGUUCCCUUCGGGGAGCGAGUAGAGUGGCGAAAGGGUGAGUAAUGCUUGGAUGACCUGCCCUCGAGACGGGGACAACAGUUCGAAAGGACUGCUAAUACCCGAUAGUCCGGUUUAGAUGCGUCUAGAUCGGUAAAUGGUGCUUCCGCUCGAGGAGGGGUUCAAGUCCUAUCAGCUUGUUGGUGAGGUAACGGCUCACCAAGGCGAUGACGGGUAGCCGGACUGAGAGGUUGGCCGGCCACAUGGGAACUGAGACACUGUCCUGACUCCUACGGGAGGCUGCAGUCGGGAAUAUUGCUCAAUGGGCGAAAGCCUGAAGCAGCAACGCCGCGUGUGCGAUGAAGGCCUCGGUC
Molecule: ribosomal RNA, 396 nt
Filed under: uncultured bacterium
Lineage: Bacteria
Description: bacterial SSU rRNA
Rfam family: Bacterial small subunit ribosomal RNA
Source: RNAcentral